This 252-nucleotide ribosomal RNA is filed under the name Vairimorpha ceranae. RNAcentral describes it as "Nosema ceranae partial large subunit ribosomal RNA". The record is from RNAcentral. Lineage: Eukaryota; Fungi; Microsporidia; Nosematidae.
UUCGGAUAAAAGAGUCCGUUACCCUUCGGGGAAUCUUAAGUCUUUCUUCCAAGAAAGUAGGGCAAGCUAUGCUCUUGGGAUGUGAGAUCCAGUGCCGGUUGGGAGAAGCCGUUACCCUUCGGGGAAUCUUCAAAAAACACACAACCUGGGGAGGGUUUGGCAAGCUGCUGACGCCGUAGCAUUUGCGUUGGAUCAGGUCAGAUCCUUAAACUGACGAUUGAGUCAGCCGUGUUAUCCCAAGAACCCUGCUCA